This 253-nucleotide ribosomal RNA is filed under the name uncultured bacterium. RNAcentral describes it as "partial 16S ribosomal RNA". It matches the Rfam family "Bacterial small subunit ribosomal RNA", at positions 524 to 776 of the family's 1533-position model. The record is from RNAcentral.
UACAGAGGGGGCAAGCGUUGUUCGGAAUUACUGGGCGUAAAGGGCGCGUAGGCUGCCCUCUAAGUCAGACGUGAAAUCCCUCGGCUCAACCGGGGAACUGCGUCUGAGACUGGAUGGCUUGAAUUCGGGAGAGGGAUGCAGAAUUCCAGGUGUAGCGGUGAAAUGCGUAGAUAUCUGGAGGAAUACCGGUGGCGAAGGCGGCAUCCUGGACCGAGAUUGACACUGAUGAGCGAAAGCUAGGGGAGCAAACGGG